GGUGGCCAAUGAAGUGCCAUUUGAUCUCAGGACACAAAGACAGAAUCUGAGGGGAAAAAGCGAUGCGUAACCAGCCUCGUUUGAGUCCAAGUCGUGACUACUGGGAGUAUGCUGAUGACUGACGCUUUCCAGAGAGUUACCCGAACAGGCAGCCCAUCUGCCUGAGAGUUUCCCUGACAGAACCUCCAAGGUGAUGUUUAUUAGGGGAAGCCCUAGAUUUUUCUUGGAGAAUCACCGAGAAUCACAGAAUAUUAACAUCAGAAGAGAUCUCAGAGCUUUCAGAGCUGAGGGCCGGAAUAGUUACCUGACUUGUUCAAGGUAACGUCUAAGGAAUAGUCAAGGAAAGACUAUAAUACAGGUCUUGUCUUCAGCCAGCAUAAAUGCUCGAUCAGAGAAACCUGUGACCUCUCUGUUAAGGUCCGUCUCAUUCCACACCAUUCAGCUUAAACUUGCACUGAGGUGGGCAGAUUUUGAUUCUUGGUCUAAUCAAAGUCCAAGAGGAUGUAAUAUAUAUAUACACAAAAGACGAAAGCUCCCCUUAACCGGCUUGGGAUUGGACUGCUCCCUCCUGCCCCAUAAACAAGUGCCGCUCUGAUGCCAGCGAAGUCCGGCCAGUCCACCCUCACCUCGGCCUCCGGGCGGCACUGGCAUUUCUUGGGCACUUAGCAGGUGAGACGCUGCCACACACGCGAUCUCGGGCGUCUCUGGCCUCCGCGGGGUGCUCUUGUACCCCCGUCUCCCCUUACCGUCCGUGGGCACAGGCCUGGCCCCCCUCGCAUCCGCCAAGGCUAUCGACCCCGAAACGACGCGGUGCGCAAGUGGCCACGACACCUGGGCACUAAGUCAUUUUCCCGAGGUAGCGGUACCCUCUGCUCCAACGAAGCCAAUCUCCAGAAAACCUAACAGACUCAAGGUGUCCCUCUUCCCAAGGCGGCCGCCCACCGUCCCCACGCAGCCUCCUUCCUCACCCGCGGCCGCCGCGCCACAGCCUGCUGCACGCGCUCGUUCACCGCCCGCAAUGCGCACCCGACUCCCAGCUCGGCCGACAUGCUGCCAGCUCUCCACAUCCCCCGGGGACCGACGCCGAGCCCCAGGCCCCCGGCAGCCCGCGGCUCACACCAUCUUCCGGUUCCGCCCAGCUUGCGCCGUGUGAACCAAUCAUUGCUCACCAUUGAGUCGUCUCACCCAAUCAACACCUGGGCAGCGCGGAGGCCCGCCCCCAGGCGGCGGCCAUCUUGGGAAGGUCACCCGCGAACCUGGAAAUGGAGCCUAGGGGCUGAGGUUUUGCGCGCCUGGUUCCAAGGGCCACUCCCCGUGUGUUCUCCUCUUUCCUGCGCCUCAGCCGCUGCCGUCCCCCCCACCCCCAAGGGACUUUUGUGAGGCAAAAACGCAUCCUAUACUCGGGGGAUCCUGUUCCCUUUCAAAACGCCUUUCCAGGCUUGCCCGUUCCCGGCUUUCUGGGCGCGGGGACCAGAAUUAGAAGCCACUGGGGCGGGAGCCAGGGCUUUUCUCUGUCAGAUGGUUCUUGCGAGGAACCCCUAAGCGAUACGAAAGGAAACUCUUCUUUCUUCUUUUCCCUAAAGACACGGCGUGAUUCAAACGUAUCGUGAUUUUUGUCAUCUUUCAGACCACUGCUGUCCAAGAGAAAUAUAACGCCAUCCAACUGUGUAAUUUGGAAGUUUCUCAUAGGCACAUAGUUUAAAAAUUUUAAUGAUAUACUUUAAUCCAAUAUAUCCAAAGUAAGAUUUCAACAUGCAAUCAAUAGAAAAACUAAAUGCGAUAUUUUAAUUCCUUUGAAAAUCGUAUGUUUCUGAAACCCGGUGUAGUGUUGACUUGCAUAUGCCUCAAUUCGUGCCAUCCCUAUUUCGAGAGGUUAGCGGCCACCUGCGGCCAGUGCUGUCUCAUCAGGGGACACAGGCAGCAUGAUUAUUACUAUUAUUAUUAUUGAGACAGUCUCGCUCUGUCACCCAGGCUGGAGUGCGGUGGCCCGAUCUGGGCUCACUGCAACUUCCACCUCCCGGGUUCAAGCGAUUCUCCUGCCUCAGCCUCCCCAGUAGCUGGGACUGCAGGUGCGAGCCACCACGCCCAGCCCACAGGCAGCUUUAGAUGGUCUAGCAGGAGCUCAGCACAUUCAGUUAGAUUCUUUUUUUGAGAUGGGGUCUCACUAUGUUGCCCAGAUUAUCUGGGACUCCUGGGCCCAAGCAAUCCUCCCACCUCCGCCUCACAGAAUAGCUGGGACUACAAACGGGCACCACAACGCCCUGAGUUUGAUUCUUGAGUCCCCUUCUGUGGGCAAUAUGGUUAUAAACUUGAUGAGGAGCCAGGCCAUACAAAGAAUAACACAGAAUGCUACAUAGUCAGGUGAUGAAAUUGUAGGUGCUAUGGGCAAGGAGAAGGAGAUCAAUUUUGUUAAGGAAAGCACUCUUGGCUGCAAUUUCUGUUGAAAGUUUCUCAAACAUUAAUUCAACUUAAUGAAGUGGGAUGCUAUUAUAUUAGAGAAAUGGCUAAUGUUUGUUCUUCAGGUGGUCUUGUCUUGAGGUGAUGGGGUUUAUUAGAGCUUUCCAGAAAGAAGGGGCAAUAUUCUUACUCUCUCCUCUCACAGUUUUUCCCCAGACUCCCAGGAACAGAGAUGGAAUUUCACAUCUUCUGCUCUGGGAAAAUCACAUUAGGCAGAACCUCAGAUCCUUAAAGUAAGGGACUUCUUUUUGGGAAGUCUCUGGUCAUUUACCCUGGUACACAUUAACUGGGUUAUCUGCAAACUAGGACUGCCAACAUUAGGAGUAAUUGUGUUCAGAUAAAAUGUCUCUAGACUUGAUACAUCUGUACUCCAACCAAAAUGAU
Long non-coding RNA from Gorilla gorilla gorilla (western lowland gorilla), 2841 nucleotides. RefSeq lists it as uncharacterized. The transcript is spliced from 3 exons. The record is from RefSeq and is a predicted model, not a curated record. Lineage: Eukaryota; Metazoa; Chordata; Mammalia; Primates; Hominidae.